UCAGGAUGAACGCUGGCGGCGUGCCUAACACAUGCAAGUCGAACGGAGUAAUUAAGCGGAAGUUUCGGAUGGAAGCAUAGUACUUAGUGGCGGACGGGUGAGUAACGCGUGGGCAACCUGCCCUGUACCGGGGGAUAACACUUAGAAAUAGGUGCUAAUACCGCAUAAGCGCACAGCUUCGCAUGAAGGUGUGUGAAAAACUCCGGUGGUACAGGAUGGACCCGCGUCUGAUUAGCUAGUUGGUGGGGUAGAGGCCUACCAAGGCGACGAUCAGUAGCCGGCCUGAGAGGGUGACCGGCCACAUUGGGACUGAGACACGGCCCAAACUCCUACGGGAGGCAGCAGUGGGGAAUAUUGCACAAUGGGGGAAACCCUGAUGCAGCGACGCCGCGUGAGUGAAGAAGUAUUUCGGUAUGUAAAGCUCUAUCAGCAGGGAAGAAAAUGACGGUACCUGACUAAGAAGCCCCGGCUAACUACGUGCCAGCCGCCGC
Molecule: ribosomal RNA, 491 nt
Filed under: uncultured bacterium
Lineage: Bacteria
Description: bacterial SSU rRNA
Rfam family: Bacterial small subunit ribosomal RNA
Source: RNAcentral